GGGCUCACACAAGCGGUGGAGCAUGUUGUUUAAUUCGAGGCUACGCGAAGAACCUUACCUGGGUUUGAAGCGAUAGGUAUAAGCGCGUCGAAAGAUGUGUGAUUGCCCUUCGGGGUGUAACCUAUCACAGGUGCUGCAUGGCUGUCGUCAGCUCGUGUCGUGAGAUGUCGGGUUAAGUCCCAUAACGAGCGAAACCCUUGUCCUUAGUUGCUAGCGGGUAAAGCCGAGGACUCUAAGGAGACUGCCGGUGUUAAACCGUGAGGAAGGUGGGGACGACGUCAAGUCAUCAUGGCCUUUACGUCCAGGGCUACAAACGUGCUACAAUGGCCGGCACAAAGGGAAGCAAGACCGCGAGGUGGAGCAAAUCUCAAAAAUCCGGCCCCAGUUCGGAUUGGAGGCUGCAAUUCGCCUCCAUGAAGUUGGAAUCGCUAGUAAUCGCGUGUCAGCUACAACGCGGUGAAUGUGUUCCUGAGCCUU
Molecule: ribosomal RNA, 477 nt
Filed under: uncultured bacterium
Lineage: Bacteria
Description: bacterial SSU rRNA
Rfam family: Bacterial small subunit ribosomal RNA
Source: RNAcentral